CCGAGUUUACAACUCCCAAACCCCUGUGAACAUACCUUAUCGUUGCCUCGGCGGAUCAGCCCGCGCCCGGUAAAACGGGACGGCCCGCCAGAGGACCCCUAAAACCCUAUUGUUUUCAUGUAACUUCUGAGUAACAAAACAAAUAAAUCAAAACUUUCAACAACGGAUCUCUUGGUUCUGGCAUCGAUGAAGAACGCAGCAAAAUGCGAUAAGUAAUGUGAAUUGCAGAAUUCAGUGAAUCAUCGAAUCUUUGAACGCACAUUGCGCCCGCCAGUAUUCUGGCGGGCAUGCCUGUUCGAGCGUCAUUUCAACCCUCAAGCCCCUCCGGGUUUGGUGUUGGGGAUCGGCGAGCCCCCCCUGCGGGACGAGCCGGCCCCUAAAUCUAGUGGCGGUCUCGCUGCAGCCUCCAUUGCGUAGUAGCUAACACCUCGCAACUGGAACGCGGCGCGGCCAAGCCGUUAAACCCCCCCAACUUCUGAAUGUUGACCUCGGAUCAGGUAGGAAUACCCGCUGAACUUAAGCAUAUCAAUAAGCGGAGGAAAAGAAACCAACAGGGAUUGCCCUAGUAACGGCGAGUGAAGCGGCAACAGCUCAAAUUUGAAAUCUGGCUCUCGGGCCCGAGUUGUAAUUUGUAGAGGAUGCUUUUGAUGCGGUGCCUUCCGAGUUCCCUGGAACGGGACGCCAUAGAGGGUGAGAGCCCCGUCUGGUUGGAUGCCAAAUCUCUGUAAAGCUCCUUCGACGAGUCGAGUAGUUUGGGAAUGCUGCUCUAAAUGGGAGGUAUAUGUCUUCUAAAGCUAAAUACCGGCCAGAGACCGAUAGCGCACAAGUAGAGUGAUCGAAAGAUGAAAAGCACUUUGAAAAGAGAGUUAAAAAGUACGUGAAAUUGUUGAAAGGGAAGCGUUUAUGACCAGACUUGGGCUUGGUUAAUCAUCUGGGGUUCUCCCCAGUGCACUUUUCCAGUCCAGGCCAGCAUCAGUUUUCCCCGGGGGACAAAGGCUUCGGGAAUGUGGCUCUCUUCGGGGAGUGUUAUAGCCCGUUGCGCAAUACCCUGGGGGGGACUGAGGUUCGCGCU
RNAcentral lists this ribosomal RNA (1072 nucleotides) under Fusarium lateritium f. sp. celosiae. RNAcentral describes it as "eukaryotic LSU rRNA". The stretch from base 484 to 1072 matches the Rfam family "Eukaryotic large subunit ribosomal RNA", at positions 1 to 601 of the family's 3401-position model. Lineage: Eukaryota; Fungi; Ascomycota; Sordariomycetes; Hypocreales; Nectriaceae. The record is from RNAcentral.